AGGUAAAGUAGAAGGAGCAGAAAGGGUCAGAAAUGAGCUGGAAGGGGCAGAAGGAGCACAAACAUAAAGUAGGAGAAUGAGCAGGAAGGGCCUGCAAGGAGCAGGAAGGAGCACAAAGGGACAGCAAGGAGCACAAAGGUAAAGGAGCAGAAAGAAUCAGAAGGAGCACAAAGGUAAAGUGCCUGGCAGGGAAACGCUGGACCUUCUCAUCUCCAAAGGUAAAAAAAUAUCGGUGUUAAUGUGUUCACUUUUAUUUACUGAGUGUCAGGAAGCACAGAGUGCCAUUGGGUAGGGGUGUUGCUGAUUGGCUAGAGCGGUCAGCUGGCACUCUAAGCCAAUCAGUAGCUCCC
This is a non-coding RNA of Pelobates cultripes (western spadefoot toad), 350 nucleotides long. The record is from the annotation of a GenBank genome assembly. NCBI's taxonomy places the organism in Eukaryota, Metazoa, Chordata, Amphibia, Anura, Pelobatidae.